RNAcentral lists this ribosomal RNA (497 nucleotides) under uncultured bacterium. RNAcentral describes it as "partial 16S ribosomal RNA". It matches the Rfam family "Bacterial small subunit ribosomal RNA", at positions 36 to 507 of the family's 1533-position model. The record is from RNAcentral.
UCUUCCCUCUGGCGGCGUGCCUAAUACAUGCAAGUCGAGCGAACAGACGAGGAGCUUGCUCCUCUGACGUUAGCGGCGGACGGGUGAGUAACACGUGGAUAACCUACCUAUAAGACUGGGAUAACUUCGGGAAACCGGAUCUAAUACCGUAUAAUAUAUUGAACAGCAUUGUUCAAUAGUGAAAGACGGUUUUGCUGUCACUUAUAGAUGGAUCCGCGCCGCAUUAUCUAGUUGGUAAGGUAACGGCUUACCAAGGCAACGAUGCGUAGCCGACCUGAGAGAGUGAUCGGCCACACUGGAACUGAGACACGGUCCAGACUCCUACGGGAGGCAGCAGUAGGGAAUCUUCCGCAAUGGGCGAAAGCCUGACGGAGCAACGCAGCGUGAGUGAUGAAGGUCUUCGGAUCGUAAAACUCUGUUAUUAGGGAAGAACAAAUGUGUAAGUAACUAUGCACGUCUUGACGGUACCUAAUCAGAAAGCCACGGCUAACUACGUG